UGUGGUUGCUAGGUGGUUGAUAUGGUAACCUGGGUGGUUGCUAGGCAGUUGCUAAGGUCCUUGGGGUGGUUGCUAAGGUGUUGCUAAGCGGUUGCUAGGGUGUUCUGGGGUGUAGCUAUGUGGUUGCUAGGUCACUUGGGGUGGUUGCUAAGGUGUUGCUAGGCGGUUGCUAGGAUGUUCUGAGUGGUUGCUAGGUGGUUGCUAUGGUAACCUGGGUGGUUGCUAGGCAGUUGCUAAGGUACUUGGGGUGGUUGCUAAGGUGUUGCUAUGCGGUUGCUAGGGUGUUCUGGGUGGUUGCUAGGCAGUUGCUAAGGUACUUGGGGUGGUUGCUAAGGUGUUGCUAAGCGGUUGCUAGGGUGUUCUGGGUGGUUGCUAGGCGGUUGCUAAGGUAACCUGGGUGGUUGCUAGGCAGUUGCUAAGGUACCUGGGGUGGUUGCUAAGGUGUUGCUAUGCG
Cyprinus carpio carpio is the source of this 454-nucleotide long non-coding RNA. The record is from Ensembl. Lineage: Eukaryota; Metazoa; Chordata; Actinopteri; Cypriniformes; Cyprinidae.